CAGUAGCCGCGGUAAUACGUAGGUCCCGAGCGUUGUCCGGAUUUAUUGGGCGUAAAGCGAGCGCAGGCGGUUAGAUAAGUCUGAAGCUAAAGGCUGUGGCUUAACCAUAGUACGCUUUGGAAACUGUUUAACUUGAGUGCAAGAGGGGAGAGUGGAAUUCCAUGUGUAGCGGUGAAAUGCGUAGAUAUAUGGAGGAACACCGGUGGCGAAAGCGGCUCUCUGGCUUGUAACUGACGCUGAGGCUCGAAAGCGUGGGGAGCAAACAGGAUUAGAUACCCCUGUAGUCCCUGUCUCUUAUACA
This 301-nucleotide ribosomal RNA is filed under the name uncultured bacterium. Its description in RNAcentral is "partial 16S ribosomal RNA". It matches the Rfam family "Bacterial small subunit ribosomal RNA", at positions 509 to 808 of the family's 1533-position model. The record is from RNAcentral.